AACGCGAAGAACCUUACCUGGGUUUGACAUGGAUUGGUAACGGUCAGAGAUGGCCGCCCCCCUUGGGGGCCGGUUUCACAGGUGGUGCAUGGCUGUCCUCACCUCCUGUCGUGAGAUGGUGGGUUAAAUCCCCCAACCAGCGCCACCCUCCUUCACUGGUUCCCAGAAUUUGGUUGGGGACUCAGUGGAGACCGCCGGGGUCAACUCGGAGGAAGGUGGGGAUGACGUCAAGUCAUCAUGCCCCUUAUGUCCAGGGCUUCACGCAUGCUACAAUGGCCGGUACAAAGAGUGGCGACACUGUGAGGUGGAGCGAAUCUCAAAAAGCCGGUCUCAGUUCGGAUUGGGGUCUGCAACUCGACCCCAUGAAGUCGGAGUCGCUAGUAAUCGCAGAUCACCAACGCUGCGGUGAAUACGUUCCCGGGUCUUGUACACACCG
This 436-nucleotide ribosomal RNA is filed under the name uncultured bacterium. RNAcentral's name for it is "bacterial SSU rRNA". It matches the Rfam family "Bacterial small subunit ribosomal RNA", at positions 958 to 1392 of the family's 1533-position model. The record is from RNAcentral.